Molecule: ribosomal RNA, 468 nt
Filed under: uncultured bacterium
Lineage: Bacteria
Description: partial 16S ribosomal RNA
Rfam family: Bacterial small subunit ribosomal RNA
Source: RNAcentral
GACGAACGCUGGCGGCGUGCUUAACACAUGCAAGUCGAACGGAAAGGCCCGGCUUUUGUGGGGUGCUCGAGUGGCGAACGGGUGAGUAACACGUGAGUAACCUGCCCUUGACUUUGGGAUAACUUCAGGAAACUGGGGCUAAUACCGGAUAGGAGCUCCUGCUGCAUGGUGGGGGUUGGAAAGUUUCGGCGGUUGGGGAUGGACUCGCGGCUUAUCAGCUUGUUGGUGGGGUAGGGGCUUACCAAGGCUUUGACGGGUAGCCGGCCUGAGAGGGUGACCGGCCACAUUGGGACUGAGAUACGGCCCAGACUCCUACGGGAGGCAGCAGUGGGGAAUAUUGCACAAUGGGCGGAAGCCUGAUGCAGCAACGCCGCGUGCGGGAUGACGGCCUUCGGGUUGUAAACCGCUUUCGCCUGUGACGAAGCGUGAGUGACGGUAAUGGGUAAAGAAGCACCGGCUAACUACGUG